Molecule: long non-coding RNA, 201 nt
Filed under: Coffea arabica (coffee)
Lineage: Eukaryota; Viridiplantae; Streptophyta; Magnoliopsida; Gentianales; Rubiaceae
Description: long non-coding RNA (CARA_LNC007687)
Source: RNAcentral
AAAGGCUGCUCUGUACGCGUAAAACUCAAUUUCACCUCCACCAACUCACAUUGGAUGCUAUACAUGUGAGAAACAUUCCCAGCUGUAAAAGGGAGAUGUAAUCCUCAUUUCUUGACCACCUUUCAUCAUAAAAUAGCCAAAUGCAUUGCAAAAAUAGGAGAUUGGGAGUUCAUAGCAGAAAAAUAGAGAGUGAGCUACGGG